Molecule: unclassified non-coding RNA, 521 nt
Filed under: Zea mays
Lineage: Eukaryota; Viridiplantae; Streptophyta; Magnoliopsida; Poales; Poaceae
Description: misc RNA Zm00001eb082340
Source: RNAcentral
GGUACACUUUGCUAACUUCAACCUGAUGAACUUAUUAUUGUUAUUCAAAACUUGGUUAAUGCCAUGUACUUGUUUCUGAAUUUUACAUAGGAAACAACAGUUCAUGCAAAGCCUCAACAAGUCCCACACACAUCGCCUCAGGUACUCCAUCACACACCUGAAAAGGAUAAAAUGCCAACACCAACAAUGGGUACCGAGGAUAUAGAUGUCACACAUAGUGCCUCCAAUGUCAGCAAGAAGAGGAAACAUAAGCAUAAAAAACAUAACAAAAGCAAAGAGAAGGAGCAAAAAAAUUCACAACAGAAAAACAUAGAAGAUGAUGGUCUUGAUCCCCUUUGGACUCCCUCCUUUCAUCAACGAUCUCCACCACCAGUUCCAAAUAAUAAACAAUUUGUGCUAGGGCAGCCUUUAGUAUCUAGUGCAUUACUUAAGAGGAUGGGUAAACAGAGCCAAUGUUUCCACAAAUGGUAUUUUGCUAUGACCACACCAAUAUCUCGAAGGCAAAGUGCCACACACUUCAU